CCGUAGGUGAACCUGCGGAAGGAUCAUUAAAUAAUUUAGAUGGCCUUUGCUAGUUUUCUAGCGAAUGGUUCAUUCUUUUUUACUGUGAACUGUUUUAAUUUUUCAGCGUCUGAGGAAUGUCUUUUAGCCAUAGGGAUAGGCUACUAGAAUGUUAACCGAGCUGAAAGUCAGGCUUAGGCCUGGUAUCCUAUUAAUUAUUUACCAAAAGAAUUCAGUAUUAUAAUUGUAACAUAAGCGUAAAAAACUUAUAAAACAACUUUUAACAACGGAUCUCUUGGUUCUCGCAUCGAUGAAGAACGUAGCAAAGUGCGAUAACUAGUGUGAAUUGCAUAUUCAGUGAAUCAUCGAGUCUUUGAACGCAACUUGCGCUCAAUGGUAUUCCAUUGAGCACGCCUGUUUCAGUAUCAAAAACACCCCACAUUCAUAAUUUUGUUGUGAAUGGAAAUGAGAGUUUCGGCUUUAUUGCUGAAUUCUUUAAAAUUAUUAGGCCUGAACUAUUGUUCUUUCUGCCUGAACAUUUUUUUAAUAUAAAGGAAUGCUCUAGUAAAAAGACUAUCUCUGGGGCCUCCCAAAUAAAUCAUUCUUAAAUUUGAUCUGAAAUCAGGCGGGAUUACCCGCUGAACUUAAGCAUAUCAAUAAGCGGAGG
This 646-nucleotide ribosomal RNA is filed under the name uncultured fungus. RNAcentral's name for it is "eukaryotic LSU rRNA". The stretch from base 255 to 407 matches the Rfam family "5.8S ribosomal RNA". Lineage: Eukaryota; Fungi. The record is from RNAcentral.